This 321-nucleotide long non-coding RNA is filed under the name Brassica napus (rape). RNAcentral's name for it is "long non-coding RNA (BNAP_LNC025650)". Lineage: Eukaryota; Viridiplantae; Streptophyta; Magnoliopsida; Brassicales; Brassicaceae. The record is from RNAcentral.
AAUAUGCAUGACAUCCAGAUUGUGGCGUAAGAGAAGAUCCUUCUAAUAGGGUAGCUCCCAAAAUAUACUCUUCUUAUGCCAAUUGUGAGAGACACUAUACCCAUCAAGCAUAUUUGCAGGAACAUGCUAGUUUCCUCCAACCUUAACUGUUUCAUGAGCUCCGUAAUAAUCAAUGUCCGCUUCGAUCUGCUGGCCGGUGAGAUAUGGAGGAGGAUUGUCUCUGACAAUUUUUUUGUGCUGAAACAAUGUCUUAUUUCUUCUGUACGGAUGGGAAAGUGGAAGAAAGCGACGAUGACAAUCAAACCAACAACUCUUCCUACC